AUGGAAAAGGCAAAAUUGUGGAUUAAAUUGGAGCAAGACGAGAUUUAUACAAGACUAAGUUGAGGGAGGAUAUCAAGCAAGCUCGAGAAAACAUGUAUAUGACUCAAACUCAACUUGCUAAGAAGCUAAAAGUGAAGGUGCAAAUCAUUCAAGAUUACGAGAAUAGAAAGACAAUCCCAAAACAAAAAGAUGAUCUCUCAAUUGGAGAAAGCUCUUCGGUUGAAACUUCACUGAAAGAAAUAAAGUGUAGGAACGGCGGCCUUCCCCGCACCUUACGUGAAUGUGAAAUAUUUUACGUAUCGAGUUGCUCUUUUUCGACUAUAGUAGAUUACUUUAUCUUCUUUUUUCAUGUUAGUAAUCCACGUUUGGUAUAUUAAAUUGGAAAAAUGAUCAAAUAUACUCAUCUACUUUUGAAUAUUAUCUGCAUUUAACCUCCGUUAUAUUUUACGUGCGAAUAUACCCAUACUGUUAACAAACUUAUCACAAAUACCCCUAACCCUAACGGAACCUCCAUCAUCACCAACUGCCGCCCCUCCAAUCUUCUUCUCCAUAAAUUAACUUUCUUCUUCACCUCAUCUUCAUAUUUCAACCCAUAUAUUUUGCUAGAAAAUACUGAUUAUGAAUUCAGUCCAAAUAAAAAGCUAAACUCUCACAAAAUUAUAAAUUAUCCAAAACCUUUUUAAACCAGGUUUAGAUGAAUGAGAGUGAAGGAUUUUUAUCUAAUUGUGUUUACAUUAGGCGGUGAAGGGGUAUAUUUGUAUGUAAAGUAUAACUGAGGUUAAAUAUAUAUAAUUUUCGAAAGUAUAGGAAUAUAUUUGACCAUUUUCCCUAUUAAGUUUUGU
Nicotiana tabacum (common tobacco) is the source of this 842-nucleotide non-coding RNA. Lineage: Eukaryota; Viridiplantae; Streptophyta; Magnoliopsida; Solanales; Solanaceae. The record is from RefSeq and is a predicted model, not a curated record.